UACGAAGGGUGCAAGCGUGACUCGGAAUUACUGGGCGUAAAGCGUGCGUAGGUGGUUCGUUAAGUCUGAUGUGAAAGCCCUGGGCUCAACCUGGGAAUGGCAUUGGAAACUGGCGAUCUAGAGUGCGGUAGAGGGUAGUGGAAUUCCCGGUGUAGCAGUGAAAUGCGUAGAGAUCGGGAGGAACAUCUGUGGCGAAGGCGACUGCCUGGACCAGCACUGACACUGAGGCACGAAAGCGUGGGGAGCAAACAGG
RNAcentral lists this ribosomal RNA (253 nucleotides) under uncultured bacterium. Its description in RNAcentral is "partial 16S ribosomal RNA". It matches the Rfam family "Bacterial small subunit ribosomal RNA", at positions 524 to 776 of the family's 1533-position model. The record is from RNAcentral.